AGAGUUUGAUCCUGGCUCAGAUUGAACGCUGGCGGCAGGCCUAACACAUGCAAGUCGAGCGGAUGACGGGAGCUUGCUCCUUGAUUCAGCGGCGGACGGGUGAGUAAUGCCUAGGAAUCUGCCUGGUAGUGGGGGACAACGUUUCGAAAGGAACGCUAAUACCGCAUACGUCCUACGGGAGAAAGCAGGGGACCUUCGGGCCUUGCGCUAUCAGAUGAGCCUAGGUCGGAUUAGCUAGUUGGUGAGGUAAUGGCUCACCAAGGCGACGAUCCGUAACUGGUCUGAGAGGAUGAUCAGUCACACUGGAACUGAGACACGGUCCAGACUCCUACGGGAGGCAGCAGUGGGGAAUAUUGGACAAUGGGCGAAAGCCUGAUCCAGCCAUGCCGCGUGUGUGAAGAAGGUCUUCGGAUUGUAAAGCACUUUAAGUUGGGAGGAAGGGCAGUAAGCUAAUACCUUGCUGUUUUGACGUUACCGACAGAAUAAGCACCGGCUAACUCUGUGCCAGCAGCCGCGGUAAUACAGAGGGUGCAAGCGUUAAUCGGAAUUACUGGGCGUAAAGCGCGCGUAGGUGGUUCGUUAAGUUGGAUGYGAAAGCCCCGGGCUCAACCUGGGAACUGCAUCCAAAACUGGCSAGCUAGAGUAUGGUAGAGGGUGGUGGAAUUUCCUGUGUAGCGGUGAAAUGCGUAGAUAUAGGAAGGAACACCAGUGGCGAAGGCGACCACCUGGACUGAUACUGACACUGAGGUGCGAAAGCGUGGGGAGCAAACAGGAAUUAGAUACCCUGGUAGUCCACGCCGUAAACGAUGUCAACUAGCCGUUGGAAUCCUUGAGAU
RNAcentral lists this ribosomal RNA (836 nucleotides) under Pseudomonas sp. Its description in RNAcentral is "bacterial SSU rRNA". It matches the Rfam family "Bacterial small subunit ribosomal RNA", at positions 8 to 838 of the family's 1533-position model. The record is from RNAcentral. Lineage: Bacteria; Pseudomonadati; Pseudomonadota; Gammaproteobacteria; Pseudomonadales; Pseudomonadaceae.